Molecule: ribosomal RNA, 807 nt
Filed under: uncultured bacterium
Lineage: Bacteria
Description: bacterial SSU rRNA
Rfam family: Bacterial small subunit ribosomal RNA
Source: RNAcentral
AGAGUUUGAUCCUGGCUCAGAACGAACGCUGGCGGCGUGCCUAACACAUGCAAGUCGAACGCGAACGAAAUCUUCGGAUUUCAAGUAGAGUGGCGCACGGGAGAGUAACACGUGGAUAACCUGCCCCAAAGUCUGGGAUAACACUUCGAAAGGGGUGCUAAUACCGGAUAAGCCCACGACAACCUCGGUUGAUGUGGGAAAAGAUUUAUUGCUUUGGGAUGGGUCCGCGGUCCAUUAGCUAGUUGGUGGGGUAAUGGCCUACCAAGGCUGCGAUGGAUAGCUGGUCUGAGAGGAUGAUCAGCCACACUGGAACUGAGACACGGUCCAGACUCCUACGGGAGGCAGCAGUGGGGAAUUUUGCGCAAUGGGGGAAACCCUGACGCAGCAACGCCGCGUGAAGGAUGAAGGCCUUUGGGUCGUAAACUUCUGUCAGAGGGGAAGAAAUGCCCGCAAGGGAGCUGACGGUACCCUCAAAGGAAGCACCGGCUAACUCCGUGCCAGCAGCCGCGGUAAUACGGAGGGUGCAAGCGUUGUUCGGAAUUAUUGGGCGUAAAGAGCAUGUAGGCGGACUGUUAAGUCUGGUGUGAAAGCCCGGGGCUCAACCCCGGAAGUGCAUUGGAUACUGGCAGUCUUGAGUAUGGGAGAGGAAAGUGGAAUUCCGAGUGUAGGAGUGAAAUCCGUAGAUAUUCGGAGGAACACCAGUGGCGAAGGCGGCUUUCUGGACCAAUACUGACGCUGAGAUGCGAAAGCGUGGGGAGCGAACAGGAUUAGAUACCCUGGUAGUCCACGCCGUAAACGAUGGGUACU